GACGAACGCUGGCGGCGUGCUUAACACAUGCAAGUCGAACGGAAAGGCCCUGCUUUUGUGGGGUGCUCGAGUGGCGAACGGGUGAGUAACACGUGAGUAACCUGCCCUUGACUUUGGGAUAACUUCAGGAAACUGGGGCUAAUACCGGAUAGGAGCUCCUGCUGCAUGGUGGGGGUUGGAAAGUUUCGGCGGCUGGGGUUGGAGUCGGGGCUUAUCAGCUUGUUGGUGGGGUAGUGGCUUACCAAGGCUUUGACGGGUAGCCGGCCUGGGAGGGUGACCGGCCACAUUGGGCCUGAGAUACGGCCCAGACUCCUACGGGAGGCAGCAGUGGGGAAUAUUGCACCAUGGGCGGAAGCCUGAUGCAGCAACGCCGCGUGCGGGAUGACGGCCUUCGGGUUGUAAACCGCUUUCGCCUGUGACGAAGCGUGAGUGACGGUAAUGGGUAAAGAAGCACCGGCUAACUACGUG
This 468-nucleotide ribosomal RNA is filed under the name uncultured bacterium. RNAcentral's name for it is "partial 16S ribosomal RNA". It matches the Rfam family "Bacterial small subunit ribosomal RNA", at positions 28 to 507 of the family's 1533-position model. The record is from RNAcentral.